Onychostoma macrolepis is the source of this 593-nucleotide long non-coding RNA. RefSeq lists it as uncharacterized. The record is from RefSeq and is a predicted model, not a curated record. NCBI's taxonomy places the organism in Eukaryota, Metazoa, Chordata, Actinopteri, Cypriniformes, Cyprinidae. The transcript has 3 exons.
CAGAGCUGGCAGAGCUCCGCAUGGGUGGCACUUUGGAGAGUCGGCUUCGAGAGGAAAGCGGAAAACGGAGAGAAGGGAUGAAAAACAAGAAAGAAAGCAUAAAAUAAGAUCAAGUCUUCAUGUUUGUCGGAGCGGUCGGGAUGUAGAGGCUAAUUAAGAGAUGGAUAACAAAGAUUAGAAAGAGUGAGUGAAAGAAAGACGCCAUCGCAAAUGGAUUCAGGAUGGAUUAGAAGAAAGCAAUUCAUGCAGGUUUGGAGUGACAUGAGGUUUCCUUGUCACCUGUGUCCAUAGAAAAGGAUUACGGAUGAAACAGAACAGGAAUGGAGGGAGUGUGAAAGAGAAGAGAGAAUGGACGGGCCGGCAAAAAAGUCAUGUCCCAGCAACCAACCCGCCUCAGGCAUUACUCAUUAGCCUAGCAAAAAGCUAAAUCCGCAAACAGUGAUGACCUGAGGGGGGGAUCAAACCAGAGAGCAGAUUCACCACAUUUAUGAAAUUUUACCAUGAUCUUCUACUAAAUUCAAGCUGAGAGCCUCAAGUUAGCCAUGAAUAAUGACAACCUUGAGCUGUCCUGAGUUUAAAAUGAGUCAGCAUGA